UUUUCAGCAAACUUGGCAUGGAACACCACAAAUCCUCGACCUGUAGGCCUGUAUUUUGCGCCUCCAUGAAGCAAAGUCCUUCCAUAAUAGUGUGUCUUGGUUCCGAGAGAAAAUGUGAAAAAUACAGGUGCAAGUUGCAGUUGCAUUAAUAUAAAUUCACUAAGUGCAGUUCGGAAUCCCCUUUCCAGGCCAAUUUCCAUCAGCAUAGGCAAGGCCAUCAAAUAUCCAAUUUGAACAAAAGCUUGAGAAGCAAGAGCCACCUGUAGAGGUUUAUUAUCUCUAAUUGCUUUCUGAUUAAUUAAACCUUCCUCAAGACCACUCAGAACGAGAUAAAGACGCCCAUAAAGGAACACAUAUACGGUUAGCACAGUUAUCAGAGUACUGAAGUAGAAACCAACUGUGGUGAAAUAGCAAGACAACAUACGGAAAAAGUCAAAGCGGUGUCCCAGCCGAUACAUAUCACGACUCAAAGUCUGCUCACCAUUGCCAUUAGCAAUUUUGGCCUCAAACAUAGAAAUCUGAUUGAGUCCCACAUCCCUCCCCUUCCCGACUUGUAUGUAUUCAUGAUGCGUAACAUUGCCUUCGCGAAGUGUAGAAUUGAAACCUGCAAAUAUGUCUUCACUCAAAUUGAUAACCUUGGAUGCUUUACUAACACCCCCUCUAGUGAGGUGAAAAAGCCGAUCAAACACAUCUGGAUGACCAUAGUGGAACCGAACCUUUAGCGGGUUGGCCAAGAGCCUUUGACCUAUAGUUACAAAGCUGGUCUCCUGAUUUGACAUAAACCAUGCAAGAGAUGAAACACUUCCCGUAAAUAUAUGUUCCCUGAGUCCAAGUAUUGAAGGAUGUCUCACACCAUCAUGCUUUUUAAGAAAUUCUUCCAGCAAAUUCCUCAUUUUUAAAGCUUCUUCCAUGUAGUUAUCCUGGUUCAUAUCUAUUGUUUGCAAGCCUUCUCCACGUGUAAAGAUAAUAGCAUGAUUUUGGUUUUCAGGUUUUCCCUCACCCAAGAUUGCUGGUCCUGGAAGUUUGAUUCGAUAAAUGACCUCAUCCAAAUUCUGUACUGGCUCCAAAGAAUCAAUAGACUUGGGUGAGGCUGCCUUCACAAGAGCAGAAUAGUAAACUUUUUGGUUGCUCUUCUUGGAUUUGUCUUGGCUAGUCACUUCAACCUCAUCAAUAUAUGCCACACGGAGCGAUGGAUAUUUUGUCAUGAGUCUUAAAAUGUCCUGUGCUCGUGCAUGACCAGAUCGCUUAUCAAUACCAUACUGUUGGCACGAUACCACAUAUGUGAAUUUCAUGUCAGCUAAAGCUUGACAACUUGUCAACAGUGACCUUUCUCCCUUCGACUGAUCGUCUGUAUUUAAUUCUAUAGCUUUAUAGCCCUCCAUCAAAUCUUCAUGUUUUGCCAUAUCAAGGAAAGCCUGAAGCUCCAAUGCCUUGCGAUAAUACAUCAUACCUCUUACAGUUCUAGUCAAUGUCUGGCCCCUAUAUGACGCCCAUAGACGAAGAUCUUCUUCUAAUUCCUCUGUUCCUUUCACUCCUUCACUUCUGCUUUUUACUCGCUCAAGAAUGUCUUUGAGUUCUUCUUCACUUCUGCAGUCUACUCGCUCAAGAAAGUUGUUCCAUUCAUCUGGAAAGAUUUUUUGCAAGUAAAAGAGGAUUGAAACACCAUCUUCAUUUGGCACUUCCAAAUCUUUCAAGGAAAAUAGCACCUCCUCCAUGUAGUACGGAGUUAAAACAGAGAAAGAAAGCAUAUUGCGAACUUUAGGAGCAGCAGGCAUUUCCAUAAACAAAGAAUUUGAGAAGAAAGAAAUGCGCCUCCUAGCUUCUAAGUUCGANNNNAGAUUCUUUUGUUGUAAGCAAAAGAUCAAGCCUCUUGAUCUUCUCUUUCCAUGCCUCUGUUACUGGAUCAAUAGGAAACUUGAUAGCUCCAGAAGAUGCAAACAACUGAUAUUGUUGAUCAAGAGAAGUCAUUGCCUCUCCAUAUCCACCAUGCACUGAAUCCACUAAACUCGAUAUAUGAUCCUCCAUCAUUAUGUCUCGUGUCACAACCUCUAGCAUGUCCUGGAAGAGAAUCACAACUUGAUCCCUGUCAUCCUGUUUGUUCUCUAACAAAUAUUUGAUAAGCUUCACAAAAUGGUCAUAGAGGCUAGGAAGAGCGCUCAUCCUGUAUUCGCUUAUCAGGGUACCUUCAUCAAUAUGUUUGUCAACUUCUGAAAAUAUGAAAUCGAUCACCUCUUUCUCACGUUUUCCUUGAACCAAUGCCUUGAUGAUGUUCCUAAAUGAAGCAUAACAUUCACGAACAGCACAAGACAUGUAGCUGCCACCCUCGAUCCUCUUUUUCAGCUCUUUAUCUUUACCAUUACUGUCCU
RNAcentral lists this unclassified non-coding RNA (2366 nucleotides) under Hevea brasiliensis (rubber tree). Lineage: Eukaryota; Viridiplantae; Streptophyta; Magnoliopsida; Malpighiales; Euphorbiaceae. The record is from RNAcentral.